RNAcentral lists this ribosomal RNA (496 nucleotides) under uncultured bacterium. RNAcentral describes it as "partial 16S ribosomal RNA". It matches the Rfam family "Bacterial small subunit ribosomal RNA", at positions 29 to 507 of the family's 1533-position model. The record is from RNAcentral.
AUGAACGCUGGCGGCGUGCCUAAUACAUGCCAGUCGCGCGAACAGACGAGGAGCUUGCUCCUUUGACGUUAGCGGCGGACGGGUGAGUAACACGUGGAUAACCUACCUAUAAGACUGGGAUAACUUCGGGAAACCGGAGCUAAUACCGGAUAACAUGUUGAACCGCAUGGUUCAACAGUGAAAGACGGUCUUGCUGUCACUUAUAGAUGGAUCCGCGCCGCAUUAGCUAGUUGGUAAGGUAACGGCUUACCAAGGCAACGAUGCGUAGCCGACCUGAGAGGGUGAUCGGCCACACUGGAACUGAGACACGGUCCAGACUCCUACGGGAGGCAGCAGUAGGGAAUCUUCCGCAAUGGGCGAAAGCCUGACGGAGCAACGCCGCGUGAGUGAAGAAGGUCUUCGGAUCGUAAAACUCUGUUAUUAGGGAAGAACAAAUGUGUAAGUAACUAUGCACGUCUUGACGGUACCUAAUCAGAAAGCCACGGCUAACUACGUG